This 218-nucleotide small nucleolar RNA is filed under the name Sorghum bicolor (sorghum). RNAcentral's name for it is "snoRNA Plant_U3". It matches the Rfam family "Plant small nucleolar RNA U3". From Rfam's summary of the family: Small nucleolar RNAs (snoRNAs) are involved in the processing and modification of rRNA in the nucleolus. The record is from Rfam by way of RNAcentral. Lineage: Eukaryota; Viridiplantae; Streptophyta; Magnoliopsida; Poales; Poaceae.
ACGACCUUACUUGAACAGGAUCUGUUCUAUAGGAUCGUACCGCUGCAUCCUUGACUAAUAAGGAGGCAAGCACUUAAGCCUGGUUGAUGAGUCAUGACCUGUGGGCCAGAGCGUGAUUAACGGCCAAGAUCUUGCUUGAUGCUGUGUCUGGUGCUGUAGAGGAUCGUUCCUGGUCAGGCUUGCUUGGCUGGGGUGGCCAACAGGUUGUCUGACAGGCC